Molecule: long non-coding RNA, 231 nt
Organism: Nematolebias whitei (Rio pearlfish)
Lineage: Eukaryota; Metazoa; Chordata; Actinopteri; Cyprinodontiformes; Rivulidae
Exons: 3
Source: RefSeq, a predicted model, not a curated record
GGGGACAUUUACACUGAGGAGGCAUGCUGUGACUGAUAAUCUCUGGACUGCGCAGUGCAGUCAACUGGGUGAUUUCUUGCUGUGGCUCCUCUGAGAAGGGCAGGAUGCCUUUAGGAAACCAAUGUAAAGGACAAAAAGUGUGGACGGUGUCCAGAGAUGCAACGCCAUCCAGUCAGAAUCAUGCAUAAUGGUUCAGAUGAACAGAAGAUUUCUUCACCUGCAGCAAGUUAA